RNAcentral lists this ribosomal RNA (940 nucleotides) under Cortinarius sp. 11 MD-2018. RNAcentral's name for it is "eukaryotic LSU rRNA". It matches the Rfam family "Eukaryotic large subunit ribosomal RNA", at positions 1 to 921 of the family's 3401-position model. The record is from RNAcentral. Lineage: Eukaryota; Fungi; Basidiomycota; Agaricomycetes; Agaricales; Cortinariaceae.
UUUGACCUCAAAUCAGGUAGGACUACCCGCUGAACUUAAGCAUAUCAAUAAGCGGAGGAAAAGAAACUAACAAGGAUUCCCCUAGUAACUGCGAGUGAAGCGGGAAAAGCUCAAAUUUAAAAUCUGGCGGUCUUCUGGCUGUCCGAGUUGUAAUCUAGAGAAGUGUUAUCCGCGCUGGACCGUGUACAAGUCUCCUGGAAUGGAGCAUCAUAGAGGGUGAGAAUCCCGUCUUUGACAUGGACUACCAGGGCUUUGUGAUGCGCUCUCAAAGAGUCGAGUUGUUUGGGAAUGCAGCUCAAAAUGGGUGGUAAAUUCCAUCUAAAGCUAAAUAUUGGCGAGAGACCGAUAGCGAACAAGUACCGUGAGGGAAAGAUGAAAAGAACUUUGGAAAGAGAGUUAAACAGUACGUGAAAUUGCUGAAAGGGAAACGCUUGAAGUCAGUCACGUCGUCCAGGGAUCAACCUUGCUUUUGCUUGGUGCACUUUCUGGUUUGACGGGUCAGCAUCAAUUUUGACCAUUGGAAAAAGGUUAAGGGAAUGUGGCAUCUCUGGAUGUGUUUAUAGCCCUUGGUCACAUACAAUGGUUGGGAUUGAGGAACUCAGCACGCCGCAAGGCCGGGUUUUUAACCACGUACGUGCUUAGGAUGCUGGCAAAAUGGCUUUAAUCGACCCGUCUUGAAACACGGACCAAGGAGUCUAACAUGCCUGCGAGUGUUUGGGUGGAAAACCCGAGCGCGCAAUGAAAGUGAAAAGUUGAGAUCCCUGUCGUGGGGAGCAUCGACGCCCGGACCAGACCUUUUGUGACGGUUCCGCGGUAGAGCAUGUAUGUUGGGACCCGAAAGAUGGUGAACUAUGCCUGAAUAGGGUGAAUCCAGAGGAAACUCUGGUGGAGGCUCGUAGCGAUUCUGACGUGCAAAUCGAUCGUCAAAUUUGGGUAUAGG